This 254-nucleotide ribosomal RNA is filed under the name uncultured bacterium. RNAcentral's name for it is "partial 16S ribosomal RNA". It matches the Rfam family "Bacterial small subunit ribosomal RNA", at positions 523 to 776 of the family's 1533-position model. The record is from RNAcentral.
GGACGAAGGGGGCUAGCGUUGUUCGGAAUUACUGGGCGUAGAGCGCGUGUAGGCGGUUGUUCAAGUCAGGUGUGAAAGCCUUGAGCUCAACUCAAGAAAUGCACUUGAUACUGGAUGACUAGAGGACCGGAGAGGAUAGUGGAAUUCCCAGUGUAGUGGUGAAAUACGUAGAGAUUGGGAAGAACACCAGUGGCGAAGGCGGCUAUCUGGACGGUUUCUGACGCUAAGACGCGAAAGCGUGGGGAGCAAACAGG